GCUGAUAUGGCUCAGUUGGUAGAGCGCACCCUUGGUAAGGGUGAGGUCAAGAUUUUCAGCCUGGAUAUCAGAU
Molecule: transfer RNA, 73 nt
Filed under: Escherichia coli
Lineage: Bacteria; Pseudomonadati; Pseudomonadota; Gammaproteobacteria; Enterobacterales; Enterobacteriaceae
Description: tRNA-Thr
Rfam family: tRNA (bases 1-61)
About the family: Transfer RNA (tRNA) molecules are approximately 80 nucleotides in length. Their secondary structure includes four short double-helical elements and three loops (D, anti-codon, and T loops). Further hydrogen bonds mediate the characteristic L-shaped molecular structure. tRNAs have two regions of fundamental functional importance: the anti-codon, which is responsible for specific mRNA codon recognition, and the 3' end, to which the tRNAs corresponding amino acid is attached (by aminoacyl-tRNA synthetases). tRNAs cope with the degeneracy of the genetic code in two manners: having more than one tRNA (with a specific anti-codon) for a particular amino acid; and 'wobble' base-pairing, i.e. permitting non-standard base-pairing at the 3rd anti-codon position.
Source: RNAcentral